This 842-nucleotide ribosomal RNA is filed under the name human gut metagenome. RNAcentral describes it as "bacterial SSU rRNA". It matches the Rfam family "Bacterial small subunit ribosomal RNA", at positions 8 to 868 of the family's 1533-position model. The record is from RNAcentral.
AGAGUUUGAUCCUGGCUCAGGACGAACGCUGGCGGCGUGCUUCAUACAUGCAAGUCGAACGAGAAGCAGGAGCUUGCUCCUGUGGAAAGUGGCGGACGGGUGAGUAACAUGUAGGAAAUCUGCCCAAGAGUGGGGGACAACAGUUGGAAACGACUGCUAAUACCCCAUAUGAGCCAAGCUGAAAUGCUUGUCUUGAAAACUCCGGUGCUCUUGGAUGAGCCUGCACCUGAUUAGCUAGUUGGCGGGGUAAAUGCCCACCAAGGCUAUGAUCAGUAGCUGGUUUGAGAGGAUGAUCAGCCACAAUGGGACUGAGACACGGCCCAUACUCCUACGGGAGGCAGCAGUAGGGAAUUUUGCGCAAUGGGCGAAAGCCUGACGCAGCAACGCCGCGUGUGUGAUGAAGCCCUUCGGGGUGUAAAACACUGUCAGUGGGGACGAAAUCUGACGGUACCCACAGAGGAAGCACCGGCUAACUCCGUGCCAGCAGCCGCGGUAAUACGGAGGGUGCAAGCGUUGUCCGGAAUCAUUGGGCGUAAAGAGUUCGUAGGCGGCAUGUCAAGUCCGGUGUUAAAUCCUGAGGCUCAACCUCAGACCGGCACUGGAUACUGGCAAGCUUGAAUGCGGUAGAGGUAAAGGGAAUUCCUGGUGUAGCGGUGAAAUGCGUAGAUAUCAGGAAGAACACCGGUGGCGUAAGCGCUUUACUGGGCCGUUAUUGACGCUGAGGAACGAAAGCCGGGGGAGCAAAUGGGAUUAGAUACCCCAGUAGUCCUGGCCGUAAACGAUGGAUACUAGGUGUUGCGGGUAUCGACCCCUGCAGUGCCGUAGCUAACGCGAUAAGUAUC